GCCUCGGUGGAUCAUGGUGGAUCGUCCCUGUUACUUCAGUCGGUAUGUGUACCACCAGUUCUACAGCGGGAGGAUGAGGGUUCGAAUCCCUCUCGAGGCA
Mycena rebaudengoi is the source of this 100-nucleotide non-coding RNA. Lineage: Eukaryota; Fungi; Basidiomycota; Agaricomycetes; Agaricales; Mycenaceae. The record is from the annotation of a GenBank genome assembly.